AUGGCCAUGAAUGUCCACGUCUGGCACAUCAACGUCCACCUUGGGGCCUUUGAUGUCCAGCUCAGGCCCCUUCAGGUCACCCUCCAGCUUUGGAAGGGACACGUCCACAUCACCCUUGACCUUGGGGCCUUUGAGGUUGAUGUCCACGUCGGGCAUGGAGAUCUUCUGGGUCUUGAUGUGCAUCUCGGGCAUCUUGAACUUGGGGCCUUUGAUCUUCCCCUCGGGACCUUCCAAAUCCACGCUGGGCACCUCCACGUCCACUUUCGGCCCUUUAACAUCCACUUCUGGAGCUUUCAACUCACCUUCCACCUUGGGGAGGGACACGUCCACCUCUCCCUUCACUUUGUGUCCCUUCAGGUUCAAAUCCACGUCCGGCAUCGAGAUUUUGGGGGAUUUGAUGUUCAGUUUCGGCAUCCUGAAUUUGUGGCCUUUCAUCUUCCCUUCUGGACAUUCCAUGUCCACCUCGGGCACCUCAACAUCCAACUUGGGACCUUCCACAUCCAACUUGGGACCUUCCACAUCCAACUUGGGACCUUUCACGUCGAUUUUGGCACCUUCUACGUCCACUUUGGGGCCUUUCACGUCGAUUUUCGGGCCCUUCAGCCCGGAAAUUCUGGCGUCCCCUUUCAGUUUCGGGGCCUUCAAGCCCAGAUCCACGUCCGGCAUGGAGAGUUUUGGGCUCUGAACGUUGAGGUCGGGCAUUUUGAACUUCAGACCUUUCCCUUUGAGCUCCGGCCCUUCCAGGUCCACGCUGGGGACGUCGAUGUCCACCUUGGGGGCAGAAAUGUCGACCUCCCCCUUCGGGAGCGUCACCUCCAGCUCGGGGCUCUCUCCCUUCACCCCAAAUUUGGGCAUUUUCAUCUUGGGGAAUUUCAGUUUGCCCUCGGGGCCUUGGACAUCCAAAUCUGGGGCUUCAACCUCGACUCUGGGGCCUUUGAUCUCCACUCCGGGGGCUUUCAGCUCCCCUUCCAGUUUUGGGGUGGAAAUGUCCAAAUCUGCCUUGACUUUGGACCCUUUGAGGUUCAGGUCGAUGUUGGGCAUGGAGAUCUGGGGGGUUUUGAUGCCCACCUCGGGCACCUUCACCUUGGGGCCCUUGAUGUCCACGCUCGGGACCUCGACGGCGACGCCGGGACCCGAAAUGUCAACGCUGCCCUUGGGAAGGGCCACCUCCAGCUCGGGGCUCUCUCCCUUCACCCCAAAUUUGGGCAUUUUCAGCUUGGGGAACUUCAGUUUGCCCUCGGGGCCUUGGACGUCCAAAUCUGGGGCUUCAACCUCCACCUUGGGGCCUUUGAUGUCCAGUUCGGGGCCCUUCAAACCCGGCACGGACACGUCCAGGUCGCCGCUGGCCUUGGCACCGUUCAGGGUCAGGUCGACGUCCGGCACGGAGAUUUUGGGGGCUUUGAGGUGCAUUUCGGGCCCCUGGAUGCCCAAACUUGGCGCCUCAACAUCCACCUUGGGGCUGGACACCUCCACGCCGCCCUUGGGGAGGUUCACGUCCACCUCGGGACCUUCUGCUUUGACCCCAGGCAUCCCAAAUUUGGGCAUUUUGAAUUUGGGCAUCUUGAAUUUUCCCUCAGGGCCGUGAACAUCCACUUCAGGUGCUUCAACGUCCACUCUGGGGCCCUUGAUGUCCACGCUUGGAACGCUGACGUCCACCUUGGGGCCGGAGACCUCCACGCCCCCUUUGGGAAGGGUCACGUCGACGCUGGGGGUCUCUCCUUUCACCCCAAAUUUGGGCAUUUUCAGCUUGGGGAACUUCAGCUUGCCCUCGGGCCCCUGGAUCUCCAUUUCUGGGCUCCCAACCUCGACUUCGGGGCCUUUGAUGUCCACGCCGGGGGUCUUCAGCUCCCCUUCCAGUUUUGGGGCAGAAACAUCCAGAUUUCCCUUCACUCCGGGCCCUUUGAGGCUCAGGCCGACGUCGGGCACAGAGAUUUGGGGGGUCUUGACGCUCAUCUCGGGCAUCUUCACCGCGGGGCCUUUGAUGCCCACUCCGGGCACCUCCACCCCGAUCUGGGGCCCUUUAAGGUCCAGUUGAGGCCCCCUCAAUUCGCCCUCCACGCUCGGCACGGACACGUCCACUCCUCCCUUCAGCCCCUUCAGGUCAACGUCCACCUCCACGCCCUUCAGGCCACGCCCUGGCCUGGCCACGUCCACCUCGGGACCCUUCACGUCCACCUUGGGGCAGAGUCCUUUCAGGUCCCCUUCCCCUCUGGGGCCCUUCAGGUUCAGGUUCACGUCCGACAGCGAAAUUUGGGGCGUUUCCACCUUCUUGAAGGCGGGGCCUUUCCAUUCUCCUUCCAGGGCCGCCUCGGGGACGGCCACGCCCUUGGGGACGUCCAUGGUGGCGCCGUCGCCCUGGGCGGUGAAUUUGGGGAAGGUCAUGUGCGGGAUUUUGAUUUUCCCCUUGGCGCUGUCCGGGGCCGGGACCUCCACGCCGGGGACAUCCGGUGCAGGGCAGGGGACCUUGGUGGCACCUUUGGCCGCCGCGUCCACCUGCGGCGCCGGGGCUUGGCCGGACGGGGAGGUGGAGCAGGUGACGUCCAUCCCGGCGCCCACCUGCGGGGCCGCGGCUUCACCACCAGCCUGGAACCCGAAUUUGGGGAUUUUUAA
Taeniopygia guttata (zebra finch) is the source of this 2610-nucleotide long non-coding RNA. NCBI's taxonomy places the organism in Eukaryota, Metazoa, Chordata, Aves, Passeriformes, Estrildidae. The record is from Ensembl.